Molecule: ribosomal RNA, 468 nt
Filed under: uncultured bacterium
Lineage: Bacteria
Description: partial 16S ribosomal RNA
Rfam family: Bacterial small subunit ribosomal RNA
Source: RNAcentral
GACGAACGCUGGCGGCGUGCUUAACACAUGCAAGUCGAACGGAAAGGCCCUGCUUUUGUGGGGUGCUCGAGUGGCGAACGGGUGAGUAACACGUGAGUAACCUGCCCUUGACUUUGGGAUAACUUCAGGAAACUGGGGCUAAUACCGGAUAGGAGCUCCUGCUGCAUGGUGGGGGUUGGAAAGUUUCGGCGGUUGGGGAUGGACUCGCGGCUUAUCAGCUUGUUGGUGGGGUAGUGGCUUACCAAGGCUUUGACGGGUAGCCGGCCUGAGAGGGUGACCGGCCACAUUGGGACUGAGAUAAGGCACAGACUCCUACGGGAGGCAGCAGUGGGGAAUAUUGCACAAUGGGCGGAAGCCUGAUGAAGAAACGCCGCGUGCGGGAUGACGGCCUUCGGGUUGUAAACCGCUUUCGCCUGUGACGAAGCGUGAGUGACGGUAAUGGGUAAAGAAGCACCGGCUAACUACGUG